Molecule: ribosomal RNA, 280 nt
Filed under: uncultured bacterium
Lineage: Bacteria
Description: partial 16S ribosomal RNA
Rfam family: Bacterial small subunit ribosomal RNA
Source: RNAcentral
AGCGAACGCUGGCGGCAGGCCUAACACAUGCAAGUCGAACGGAUCCUUCGGGAUUAGUGGCGGACGGGUGAGUAACACGUGGGAACGUGCCCUUUGGUUCGGAACAACUCAGGGAGACUUGAGCUAAUACCGGAUGUGCCCUUCGGGGAAAGGAUUAUCGCCAUUGGAGCGGCCCGCGUCUGAUUAGCUAGUUGGUGGGGUAAAGGGACCCACCAAGGCGACGAUCAGUAGCUGGUCNGAGAGGAUGAUCAGCCACAUUGGGACUGAGACACGGCCCAAA